AGCCUUCUGUAUCCGUGCUCAGACUUCGUCACAAACCAGACCACAAUGGCUGAUGAGAAUCCCGAAAUAAGUGAAGCG
Molecule: microRNA precursor, 78 nt
Filed under: Schistosoma mattheei
Lineage: Eukaryota; Metazoa; Platyhelminthes; Trematoda; Strigeidida; Schistosomatidae
Description: mir-3492 microRNA precursor family
Rfam family: mir-3492 microRNA precursor family
Source: Rfam by way of RNAcentral